RNAcentral lists this unclassified non-coding RNA (650 nucleotides) under Hevea brasiliensis (rubber tree). The record is from RNAcentral. Lineage: Eukaryota; Viridiplantae; Streptophyta; Magnoliopsida; Malpighiales; Euphorbiaceae.
GUCAAAUUAUAAUUUAAUUCAUUUCAAUUUAAGCUUAUAUAAGUGUUCAGAUUACUUUACACAUUAAAAUGACUAGCCAAGUCAAUGUUACAAUCUAACCAUUUAUAUUUAACAUUUUAUGUUUAUACUUUCCCGAUGUGAGAUUUAUAAUCUCAACAAUAUGCACAAAUUGAAGUGAGCUAAAGCGAAGUUGACAUAGUCAACACCUUUGGGGCAUGUGGACAAACACUUGCACGUGUACAAACACUUGCACGAGUUUUCCCAAAUAAAUUUCUAAUUAAGAAUUUGUCACAAUGGAAAUGUCCUAUAAUUUUAUUUUCUGUCAUGUAGUAAAGUUAUUUCUCUUUGUAGCAAAAUUUUCAGUGUGAGUGGUACCUUUGGAACAAAAUAUCAAUUUGGACUAUCAUGUGUUAGAGCAGUUGUAUUGGGAGAAAUUGAACAGAAAAAAUGGACUCAGGUGUUUCAUUUGCAGAAUAUAUACCUGAUUGCUAAUUGAAGUUUUUUCUUUUUUCUUUUUCUUUCUUUUCUUUUGAGGAUUGCUAAUUGAAGAUUGGUGUAACGUAUCAUUAGUUUAUCAGAAUUUUGAACAUUUUUAAUGCUUAGUCAUCCUUUUUGGCUUGAGUGCAGUGGUUCUGAUGUUUUGUGUUACU